This 425-nucleotide ribosomal RNA is filed under the name uncultured bacterium. Its description in RNAcentral is "partial 16S ribosomal RNA". It matches the Rfam family "Bacterial small subunit ribosomal RNA", at positions 354 to 796 of the family's 1533-position model. The record is from RNAcentral.
GUGGGGAAUAUUGGACAAUGGGCGCAAGCCUGAUCCAGCCAUGCCGCGUGAGUGAUGAAGGCCUUAGGGUUGUAAAGCUCUUUCAGUGGGGACGAUAAUGACGGUACCCACAGAAGAAGCCCCGGCUAACUUCGUGCCAGCAGCCGCGGUAAUACGAAGGGGGCUAGCGUUGUUCGGAUUUACUGGGCGUAAAGCGCACGUAGGCGGAUCGUUAAGUCGGGGGUGAAAUCCUGGAGCUCAACUCCAGAACUGCCUUUGAUACUGGGUGUCUUGAGUAUGGAAGAGGUAAGUGGAAUUCCGAGUGUAGAGGUGAAAUUCGUAGAUAUUCGGAGGAACACCAGUGGCGAAGGCGGCUUACUGGUCCAUUACUGACGCUGAGGUGCGAAAGCGUGGGGAGCAAACAGGAUUAGAAACCCCAGUAGUCC